CGGGGUGUGGCUCAGCCUGGUAGAGCGCCGCGUUCGGGACGCGGAGGUCGCUGGUUCAAAUCCAGUCACCCCGA
This 74-nucleotide transfer RNA is filed under the name Pirellulales bacterium. Its description in RNAcentral is "tRNA-Pro". It matches the Rfam family "tRNA". From Rfam's summary of the family: Transfer RNA (tRNA) molecules are approximately 80 nucleotides in length. Lineage: Bacteria; Pseudomonadati; Planctomycetota; Planctomycetia; Pirellulales. The record is from RNAcentral.